This 75-nucleotide transfer RNA is filed under the name Candidatus Margulisiibacteriota bacterium. RNAcentral's name for it is "tRNA-Cys". It matches the Rfam family "tRNA". Rfam says of the family: Transfer RNA (tRNA) molecules are approximately 80 nucleotides in length. Their secondary structure includes four short double-helical elements and three loops (D, anti-codon, and T loops). The record is from RNAcentral. Lineage: Bacteria; Bacillati; Candidatus Margulisiibacteriota.
GGUGACGUAGCCAAGUGGUAAGGCCGAGGUCUGCAAAACCUCCAUACGUCGGUUCGAAUCCGACCGUCACCUCCA